CCAGAGGCAAUGGCUCCUCAGGUUUCCGGCUUCAUAGAAUGAUUUCAUUUGUUCUCGAACCAGUUGUAACAAUGGGUUAUACAGUAGGCAUGUUUGAGUGCCUGGGUUCUCCUGAGCCUAAAGUCUUGGAGAUUCAUCCAUUCAUCCUCCGUCAGAAGUUUAUUCUUUAUUGUUGCUGAAUAGUGUUUGAUUGCAUGAAUAUAUUGCAAUUGUGUAUUCAUGCUCCUGAUGCGUGAGCCUGGGUUGUUUACACUUUUAGGUUAUUAUGAAUAAGAUCACCAUGGAUAUAUGUGUGUAAUAUUUUGAGAGGCAUAUUUUUAUUUAUUUUUCGUGAAUUUGUAGGAGUGGAAAUAGUGGAUCAUAAGAUAGCCGCGUAUAUAAAUUUGCAAGAAACUGCCUCAUGAUUUUUCACAGAUGUUGAGCGGUUUUAUACUCCGACCGGUAACAUCUGAGGGUGCUAUUGUUCUGCAUUGUCUUCCACAGUGAAUUCUGUUAGUCGUUACCUUCAGCCUUUCUAAUGAGUGUGAAGUAACAUAUUCUGGUGGCUUUAAUUUGCAUUUCACUGAUAGUUCUGAUGAACGCACUGUCAUGUGUUUGUGGACAUUCGUCAAGUCUUUUGCCCUUUUUUUAACUGACUUGUUUGAUCAUCAUAUCAUUAUUUAUUUGCGGAUAUUAUUUAGAUAGUCUGGGUACAGUGAUAUGAUUUACAUACUGCAGAUAUUUUCUUAUUUUAUGAUUUGGUGUCUCGUUUUCUUAUGGGCGUCUUUCAAUGAGCAGAAGUUUUAAGUUUGAUGAAAUCAGAUCUAUUAUAAUUUCUUUUAUCAUUAGUUCUUUCUUUGGUUCUGUCUAGAAAAUCCUUUCCUAGUUGGUCACAAAAAUAAUUUCCUAUGUUUUCUUCAAUGAACUUCAUAGUAUAGCUUUUGUAUUUAGGUUUGUAACCUGCCCCUGAUUAAGUUAAUUUUUGCAUGCUGCCUGUGAUAUGAAUCAUAUUUAAUUCAGCCAAAUAUGUUGAAAAGACUUUCCUCUCCUGACUGAAUUCCACUGAAAUCUUUUCAGAAGUCAUUUGGGUUAUUUAUGGACAUUCUGCUCUGUUCCAUUGAUCUUUUGGUCUUUGUGUCAGUACCCAGAUUAUUUUUAACAUUAUAGUAAGUCGUAAACUAAGAUAAUGUUAAUCCUUUAAUUUCCUUGUUCCUUUUCAAGAUUCUGAAGCUGGCAUUCUGUACUUAUGUGGAGCCUACUCUUCUUCCUGUGUGCUAAUUGAAAAUGACUCUUUCAUGAAUAGGUUAUUGAAGAAUUCCAGUACGUAAACACACAUGCAUCUUUUCACCAUGCUUCCUAGAAGCAGUGUGUGACGUGCCAUGAAAUUUGUCAAGUGUCUGAGCAAUUCUUUGGUGCAGUGAAACAGGUUUCCUUACAAGUGUGCCAUCUGCUGUCAGUGUUGGCCAACUGCAUUCAUUACAAGACGAUAAACUUAAUUUCCUUUCUUUGUUCAUUCAGUGCCUUCAGCGACAGACUAUCUAGCCCAGUCCCUAACACACUCCUAACAAACACACACACACACACACACAUACAGUGUGUACACUGGCAAAUAGAUGUGCCAUUGUUUUGUAUCUUAUUUGGGUCCUGGCUAGUGUGUUCUUCCCUUCCCAGGAGUUUUUUGGGAUGCCCGGAGGAUUCAGAUUUCUGCUUGGAAUAAGCCUCGGAGAACUCUUAAAAAUGACUUUUUGUCAGGUCAUUGCCAAUCUGUUCCAAACCUCAUUAUAGAUAAUUACUUUCAGUGUUUUUUAAAGUAUUCUGUGUCGUCUCUAAGACUUCCAGGUAGUAGGAUCCAUUAACAACAUGAAAAGUUGUUUUUAGACAUAACAAUUUGUAAGUAAAAAGUUCAGACACAUCAAAUAUAUUUUGCUUCCCUAUUCUCUUGCCAUUUGGAGUGCUUAAGAAACUUGAGAAAACUUGAAAAGGUUUACCAUGGGCAGGAACUAUUACUUGCUAGUAACGUGUUUUUAGCAUUACCAGCUAAACACGAGGUCAGUUUUUGAAAGUCAGUGUUUAAUUGGAGAGUGAUUGAUUGACUGAUUAAGCUAUCGUCCUCCUCUUUGAGUCCUGAUAUGUGACUUUCCAGGCCUACCUUUGUGAUUAAACUUAGCCACAGUGAGUACUGACGAUUUUUUUUGCAUUAAAAUCAGAGAUUUUGUUCUAAAGUUGGUUUUAUAGUUUGGCUCUUUUUAACAAAUGUGUUUUAUACCUUUUUGUAACAUUAGAAUUAGAUUUUAUUUUGUAAGGCCAUUUUAAGCCUCAAAAUCAAUGAUGAGUCCACACAUAGCACCCAUGAGUGCUGAAUGCUUUGUGUUUCUUCUGUCUUUCUUUCUUUCUUUCUUUCUUUCUUUCUUUCUUUCUUUCUUUCUUCCUUCCUUCCUUCCUUCCUUCCUUCCUUCCUUUCUUUCUUUUCUUUUCUUUUCUUUUCUUUUCUUUUCUUUUCUUUUCUUUUCUUUCUCUUUAUGGCUGCACCCACGGUAUGUGGAGGUUUCCAGGAUAGGGGUCCAAUCACAGCUACAGCUGCCAGCCUCCACCACAGCCACAGAAACGGCAGAUCUGAGCCGCGUCUGCGACCUGCACCACAGCUCAUGGCAGUGCCAGAUCCUUAACCCACUGAGUGAGGCCAGGGAUUGAACCCACAACCUCAUGGUUCCUAGUCGGAUUCAUUUCCACGACGGGAACUCCUAUUUCAUUUUAUCAUUAUCCCCAUUUACAGAGGAUGACACUGUGCUUAGACAGCUGAGAUAAUUUACCCCUGAUCGUAAGCAAAUGGUGGAGCAAGGCCAGUAUUUUUACUAGGUCUAUCUGAGUUCAUAAUAAUCUCUUCAUACACAUUACUAUUUCUCUAUUUCAGACAUUUGCUUUUUAAAACAGCUGUCCAUAAAAGCUCUGAAGUUUUCAAAUCUCAGCUAUUUUCUAAUUAAAAUUUGUGUUGUUAAUAAAUUUAUAAAUUUAACAUGAAGGAGAAUUUUUUUAGAAAAAGAAAAUGUAAUGGUGUGUACAUGUCUAGAACAUAAUGCUGCUUCUCAGCGGGGUCUUUCUUUUUUCUAUAAUUUUGCAUCUUCACUACUCCAUCAGCCAUUGUUCAUCUUGUCUUAAUCUACAAUUUCCUGCAAGUAUUAGCAUAUGCAUUUGUCAGUCUGCUUAUAAGCUUUUAUUUUUAUCUUUUACAAUUUGAUACGUAGUUGACUUAUGGUGUAAGUUUAAUAUAUACACCAUAAUCAUUCAGUACAUGUAUAAAAUUGGAUUUUUCUUCCUAACAUUUUCUGAGUCUUAUUUCUGGUCAACUCAGCUCUCUAAUUUUAUACCACCAGGAUGAAAGAAUGUGAGCAGGUGACGUGCAGUAUUCUCUCUCUCUCUUUUCCUUGUAUGACAGCUAAUCCGUUAAGAAGCAGAAAGUGGCCGGUGCAUUUUAUUGUCUCAGGCCUGCUUUUCCAUUUUUGUGAGGAUGCUCUGCGCUCUUUGGACCUCUGUGUGUUCACGUCUGAGAAUGGGGGUCUGUGUGUGGACACGUAGCGCCCGCAUUACCAGCACGUCCUGAAGUGCACACUUCAUCCUCCCCCUGCUGGGUCCAUCUCAAAUUCAUGUCUGGGAGUCCAGGAUCUGAAAACACUUGAUGUGUCUGAAUAUGCAGACAAUCCAGAGAUGGCUCAUAGGCCCAGGAAAUGCCUGGAGAUAAUGAAAGAAUCAGUCUAGCUUCUAUCUGCCAGAGUUUUCAAUGGACCAUUUAGUUACCAAGGAACAGGUCAAGUAUGAGCAAAAAAGAACAGCAUAUGGAAGCACAGCAUUCUAGCAUAGUAAAAAGGAAAACUCCUGAGAAAACCAAAUUCUUAGGCUCUACUACUGAACUUAUGAAUGUAAUAUGAAUUUAAAUUGAUAUGACUUUACUGAUACAAAUUCAGAUUUAAAAUAUGAAUUUAGGUGGGUUCCUCAAGCUCUAUAUAGUAAAGCAAUGGUAAUGCCUUUGACUAUAAGCUCCUCGAGGAUCAGGACAGCAUCUUAUAAAUCACUGUAUUGCAUAAUAACAACUUCGAAAAACAUCAACAUGUCAUAUAAGGAUUUUAAUCUUUUUGACCAAGUAUUCCUUCAAAAUAAUUUUGAAAAAAAUGUACUCUAAUCUAUAUCUUAAUUUUUCAUUAUGUCUUCAUAAGGAUAUAAUUUUCUCUAUAUCAUAAAUAUUGAUUCUACAUAAAAGUGUUAUAUCACAGUUUCAAUUGUAUGCAGUAAAAUAUAAACAUCAUAGCAAAUUAAAAUUCACUGAUAUCCAUUUAAACAGUAGAAGUACAAGCUCAGUUUUAAGAGAUGGAAUUUUAAGGUGUUAGUUUUCUUCUUAAAAUUUUCCUUCUGGUUCAGUUCCCCCCCCCCCACGUAAUUAUUAUUGGUCCACAACGUUCGAAAAACAUUAAUGUAUUUAAAAUGUUUAUGACUGCUAAAGAUUUAUAUGAAACACGUCUCAAUUAAGUGAAGAGGUGCUGCCAGUGAUGUUGAAUUAAGGAGAAUUCAGGCUUCUCCUCAUGAAGACCAUUCCUGACCCCCUGGACCUGGUUAGACCUGCUCAGUUUAAUUCUAUUGAGCCAUCAGUAAGCGAAAGAGAGUAAGAGCUGACAGAAAUGCAGCUAGGAAAGAGAAGUCAUAACAAAAAACAGUGGCCAAAUAAAGCAUAGUUAGAACAAGAAGUGAUUUACUACAGUUGCAUGAUUUUGGAGAUUGAAGUUUCAGCAGAAGACAGUUAAUGGAAGUUAGAUUGGAGAGAAUAUUAAAGAAGGGUCGUGGAAAAGGAGAGGCAGUAAAUGAAAAGAAAAAUUCCAUGAAAUUGGGGUAUGUGAGCUUGGCGGGGGGGGGCUUAUGGUGACUGCUCCAAGCAGUGCCACAUCAUCGUUAAUGGAUGAAUGAAAGGCUUUCUAAGAUGUUAUAAGAAGCCAGCUGGAACUGGAGUUCCUGUUUUGGCUCAGCGCAUCAAGAACCCAGCAUAGUCUCUGUGAGCAUGCAGGUUUGAUCCCUGGCCUCCUCAGGGUUAAGCAGCCAGCACUUCCACAAGCUGCAGUGUAGGUCGCAGAUACGGCUCAAAUCUGGUAUUACUGAGGCUGUGGCCUAGGCCUGCAUCUGUAACUCUGAUU
Molecule: long non-coding RNA, 5153 nt
Filed under: Sus scrofa (pig)
Lineage: Eukaryota; Metazoa; Chordata; Mammalia; Artiodactyla; Suidae
Description: lncRNA (ENSSSCG00000057941.1)
Source: RNAcentral